Caretta caretta (loggerhead turtle) is the source of this 3595-nucleotide long non-coding RNA. RefSeq lists it as uncharacterized. Lineage: Eukaryota; Metazoa; Chordata; Testudines; Cheloniidae. The record is from RefSeq and is a predicted model, not a curated record.
GGCCUUGAGAACCACUGGACCAGAGUACAACCCUGUUUGUUCCAGGCCCUUGCGCUGAUCCAGUGCUGUUGCUGCAUCUUCUCUCCCAAACACAAAGCUGUGUAUAAACAUGAGAAACCAUAAACACCAAGUCUAAGCCUACAAGGAAGUUUUCCCAAUGGUGAUUUUUCCUAGCAGCCACAUUUCUCAGCAAUCAUCAGGACAAGUGUUUGUACUGAGGUCGCUGCUUGGAUGCAUUUACAACUCACUGCAACUCAGAAAAUGAAAGCAAAGUACAUUAGCCCAGGGCUGUUCAGCUUCUGGCCAUUUUCCUCUCCCAAAAGCAAUCAAGGUUUAAGUGCUGACAGGGCCUUUGCACACCUAAGUCCUCUGCCUGAACACAGUUAGCUCUGCAGGGGGAGUCAGAAGCCUCCUACCAGUAGCAGCAGCUGUUUGGAUAGGACACAUUCCCUGGGAGCAUGGCAGAGUGGAGCAUUCAGAGACUUGAACCCUCCCCAGAUGGCGCCCGUUGGGGCUGCCCAGGGAGAAGAGUAAAAGAAACUGCAUUCUGUUUGAGGCUGCAAUUCACAUCCUGUUAUUUCUUUUCCCAGCAGGGUCGGCUGGGACUGAGAAGGGCUUUCCUGUUUACGUGUGGCUGGUCCAGAAGUCUGCAUCAAUGCUCAUUUUGUUCAGGAUCAUCAUCUGCUAACCACCACCUGGGCUGCGUAGUGAAAGGAAGGAAGCUGAAUUAGCUGAGGAUUCUGAAUCACGAAGGUGAAUCUGGGGAACUCCCCCACCUUUGAAAAAUGCUGUUCACUGCAUCCGGGUGAAUGAACCACUUGUGAUUAUGGAAGGCUCUGCUGAGAUAGUUUGCCAGCUUGUUCUGAGAAACCAGGAGGUAGGAUGCUUCCAGGUGAGUUGAGUGGGCAAUGCAGCUUGAGGGCUUCCUGACAUAGGGGAGAGGAGAGAACUCUGCACUGCUUGUUUAUAUAAAACAUUGCGGUCGUGUUGUCUGUCAUCACCGCUGCACAUUUCCCUUGCAAAUGGGCCUGGAAGGUCUGGCUUGCCAGGCAGACAGCUCUCAGCUCUUUGACGUUGAUGUUAAGUGAGAGCUCCUCUUGCAACCAAAGACCUUGGGUCCUGAAUUCUCCCAGAUGAGCUCCCCAUCCCAAAUCCUGACACAUCUUGACCAGGGCCAACGAGGUCUGCGGUUUGGUGAAGGGGACCCUCGGACAUACCACCUGUGGUCUGAGCCACCAUUGGAGAGACCCGAGAACUGGCAGUGGGAGCGUAACCACCUUUUCCAGGUUGUCACGCCCUGGCUGGUAAGUUGACACCAGCCAGGCCUAGAGAGUGUUGCAUGACAUAUGUACAAGCUGCCAUAUGUCUGAGGAGCUUCAAGCAAUUCCUCGCUGUGGUGGUGGGGUAUUGCUUGAAGCCUUGUAUGAUGUCUCACAUUGUCCAAAAAUGAGACUCUGGAAGGAAGGCUCUGGCCUGACCCGAGUCCAACACUGCCCCAAUGAACUCUAUUCUCUGAGCAGGGGAUAGAGUUGAUUUGUGUAUAUUCAGGAGACCCAGCCUGUUGAAGGUGGAUCUCAUCAAGUUGACGUGUUGCUCCACUUGUGCCCUGGAACGGCCCCUGAUCAGCCAGUGGUCGAGGUACAGGAAGACCUGCACCUGCCUUCUUCUCAGGAAGGCGGCUAUGACUGCCAUGCACUUGAUAAAAACUUGAGGGGCUGCUGAUAGGCCAAAGUGGAGGACGGUAAACUGAUAAUGGUUGUGGUUCACUAUGAAGCUGAGAAAGCAUCUGUGGGCUGGAACUAUCGGUAUGUGGAAAUACAAGUCCUUGAGUUUGAGGGCAAUGUAUCAGUCUCCUGGAUCCAGAGAUGGGAUGAUGGCAAAGAGACCAUAGAGAACGUCAACUUCUUCAGGAAUCUGUUGAGGCCUUGCAGGUCGAGGAUGGGUCUGACACCCCCCCUUUGGCUUUGGGGGAUUAGGAAAUAUUGGAAGUAGAAUCCUGGUCUCUUAGCUCCUGAGGAACCUCCUCCAUUGCUCCUGCGGCGAGGAGUGUUUGAACCUCCUGCAGGAAGAGUUGCUCAUGAGACGGGUCCCUGAAGAGUGACAGGAAAGGGGGGGUGGGAGGAGAAGAAUUGGAGAGAAUAUCCCACUUCUGCAGGGUGAAGGAACCAGCAAUCUGAGGUUAUCUGGGACCAAGCACAGUAGAAGUGGGACAAGAUUCAGAAAUCAGGGCGAAAGAUCCAUCGAGAGGACUGGUACAUCGUCCCCGGGCGCACCUUCAAAAGGCUUGCUUAGAGCCCGAUGACUGCCUCGCCAAGCCCUGGCCUUGACUGGGUGGUGGAUGGGGAGACUUAUGCUGGCCAUUCCUGUCCCACUUCCUGGAGAAGUCCUGCUUAGGCUGGGGAGGGUAGAAGCGCGGAGGGGGUGGGGCUUAAAGUGUUUCUGCUGGGUAGUGGAGGUAUGCAGGCACAACGAUUUCAAUGCUGCCCACGAAACCUUUAGACUAUGGAGCUUGGAGUCUGUCUGCUCUUAGAACAGCCCCAUGCUGUUAAAGGACAAGUCCUGAAUUGGUAGUUGGACCUCUGGAGCCAUGAGCUCGUUCUCACGAGCAGAGGACAUGGUUUGUGUAGCCACGUCCAGUGAGGCCUGCAAAGGAGGUCCAUGCCACUGCCUUGCCCUCCUCUAUUAUGGCUGCAAAUUCCACUCUGGAGUCUGACUGGACCAACUCCUUAAAUUUCAUCAUGGAGUCCCAUAAAUUGAAAUUGUAAGUACUGAAGAUUGCUUGCUGGUUAACAAUCCGAAGCAGGACACCACCUCCCCCACCGGUGGAGUACGCUUUCCUGCUGAAGAGGUAUCAGCUUCUUUUAGUCCUUGGAUUUUGGAGUUGGCCCCUGCUGCCCCAUUUCUCUCUUUCAUUUGCUGCCACUACGAGCAGUGAACUCAGCUGCGUAUGAGUAAAUAACUAUUUGUACCCCUUAGAGGCGAUGAAAUAGUUCCUCUCCGCCCCCUUUGCUGUAGGGGGGAAUGGAGGCAGGAAUCUGCCACAAGGUUUUCGUAGUGGCUUGAAACGUUUUAAUGAGUGGCAAUGCCACCCUGGAUGGCCACUCAGGAGUUAAUAUAUCCACCAUGGACCUUGAGUGUGGAGACCACGGUUGUGCUGAGCGGGAUGGUGUCGGAUAACAGUGCCUCAUCACUGCGGGUUUGCCUCUAGACUGCACCACACCUUGCUGUGCUGGAGGUGUGUCUCGGCUGGCGGGGUCACCCAUUGGCAUGGGCUCAUGGCAGGUCCUGCACAGCUUAAACCCUUGGGAUCGAGGCAUGCCCUGAACCCCAAGAGGGGAGGGAAUUGGGAUAGAAAGCCCCCCAUUUCUAUCCAACUAACUUACUAAGACUAACACUAACUAAUGAACUAUUUACAGGAUAAUCAAAAGUCCAAUCACUAGGGGAAAUGCUUGCCAAGGUAAGAAACAGACACAGCUCCAACGACCAUCACUGGUGGUAAGAAGAAACUGAAGAGGCGGCGGGUCGGCAGGAAUCUAUGUACACUGCCAUGAAGGCGCAACUCCAGGGGGCUCCACAGCUGACCUGACAGGUACCA